This 465-nucleotide ribosomal RNA is filed under the name uncultured bacterium. RNAcentral's name for it is "partial 16S ribosomal RNA". It matches the Rfam family "Bacterial small subunit ribosomal RNA", at positions 28 to 507 of the family's 1533-position model. The record is from RNAcentral.
GAUGAACGCUGGCGGCGUGCUUAACACAUGCAAGUCGAACGGAAAGGCUCCUGCUUGCAGGGGUACUCGAGUGGCGAACGGGUGAGUAACACGUGGGUGAUCUGCCCUGCACUUCGGGAUAAGCCUGGGAAACUGGGUCUAAUACCGGAUAGGACGAUGGUUUGGAUGCCAUUGUGGAAAGUUUUUCGGUGUGGGAUGAGCUCGCGGCCUAUCAGCUUGUUGGUGGGGUAAUGGCCUACCAAGGCGUCGACGGGUAGCCGGCCUGAGAGGGUGUACGGCCACAUUGGGACUGAGAUACGGCCCAGACUCCUACGGGAGGCAGCAGUGGGGAAUAUUGCACAAUGGGCGCAAGCCUGAUACAGCGACGCCGCGUGGGGGAUGACGGCCUUCGGGUUGUAAACUCCUUUCGCUAGGUACGAAGCGCAAGUGACGGUACCUGGAGAAGAAGCACCGGCUAACUACGUG